This 429-nucleotide ribosomal RNA is filed under the name Chloroflexota bacterium. RNAcentral's name for it is "Chloroflexi bacterium partial 16S ribosomal RNA". It matches the Rfam family "Bacterial small subunit ribosomal RNA", at positions 355 to 776 of the family's 1533-position model. Lineage: Bacteria; Bacillati; Chloroflexota. The record is from RNAcentral.
UGGGGAAUAUUGCACAAUGGGCGCAAGCCUGAUGCAGCCAUGCCGCGUGUAUGAAGAAGGCCUUCGGGUUGUAAAGUACUUUCAGUCGGGAGGAAGGUGGUAAGGUUAAUAACCUUAUCAAUUGACGUUACCGACAGAAGAAGCACCGGCUAACUCCGUGCCAGCAGCCGCGGUGAUACGGAGGGUGCAAGCGUUAAUCGGAAUUACUGGGCGUAAAGCGCACGCAGGCGGUUGAUUGAGUCAGAUGUGAAAUCCCCGGGCUUAACCCGGGAAUUGCUUCUGAUACGGGUCAGCUAGAGUCUUGUAGAGGGGGGUAGAAUUCCAUGUGUAGCGGUGAAAUGCGUAGAGAUGUGGAGGAAUACCGGUGGCGAAGGCGGCCCCCUGGACAAAGACUGACGCUCAGGUGCGAAAGCGUGGGGAGCAAACAGG